Lutzomyia longipalpis is the source of this 1481-nucleotide long non-coding RNA. RefSeq lists it as uncharacterized. The transcript has 3 exons. The record is from RefSeq and is a predicted model, not a curated record. Lineage: Eukaryota; Metazoa; Arthropoda; Insecta; Diptera; Psychodidae.
CUUCUUUUUUUUUGUUUAAUUUACAGAGGUGAGAGAGAAAAAAAUGUCACUUUAUGGCAUCAUUAAUUUCACCUGGUGGCCCCAUAAAAGGUGACGACAAUGUGGCGAGGAAUUGGAGGAUGAGUGGCGUGGCAGCUGAUUAAGUUUCUGCGCCAUUGUGUUGCGUAAUGAACUCAUCCGCAGCACUUGAUCACUUACUUGGGGAAGGAUUUGUCUGAUAACCCUUUUUAUGAUAAGAGUGGAGGAUUUAGCAAUGGAUCUGCUGCUGCUGCAGUGUUUAAACAAUAAAAGUAAGAGACAAACAUUUCUUUCACCUCUUUUUGCUAAUCUUUUCUUCUGUAAAAUAAUCAAGAAAAGUAAGAGAAAAUAUUUUAUUAUUUGCAUAAAUUCUCAGUGAGAAGAUCACAUGACUGUGGCUGGCUGGCUGGUGUGUGAUAAUAUAUCUUGCUGAUGCUGAAGCGUGGAUUAUCGAAUAGUACAUAAAGAGAGCAAUUCCAUGACAGUGAAUCAUGUCCCUACUGUCGACGGAUAGCUCUCUUUAUUUUCAUAUUCGCGUUAUUUUCCAUCGUUGCUGCUCACUUUCUUAUUUAUUUAGUCACUCUGAUUAAGUUACUAAAGAAAAUCACUUCACUUUUUCACAUUAAAAAAAAAAUCUGCACAAAGAAAUGGCGCAGGAUGGUUUAGCGUAGAAUUGGCGCGCAAUUGACUUGGAGUGCUGACUGAGUGAUCAUCAAGCCUUAAAGUCGAAGCACUGGCUGUAGAGGAGAGUUUUGAGGUGCAGACGACACUUGGUGGAUACACUCACGACUCCACCGUGUGACUGAUUGUACGGAAUUAUUAUUGGGAAGAAGUGUGUUGGCCUCUGUGUUAUCAUUUUUACCACAAAAAAAACACCACCAAACUCCCCACCUUACACCUUUUCUGUGUCACCUGGGAAGGUGGAACACACACAGUCGGAGGCAAGGAGGGAUCUUCCAAUGUGACCUGCCACAAGAUUUUCUCAACUUGUGCAUUAUCCAUAAGCACCUGCAUUGCCAAAUUGGGCCACAAAGCUGAUGCAAAUGAUGCUCAAAUUGGGCCACCCUUUUGGGUAUAAAAGAUCAAUAAAUUGAGAGGAAGAUCAAUCAAUAAUUCAUUCAGUUUCGAGAAAGAAAGUUUAAAAAAAUCAAUAAAAAUGUUUUCCGCUCUUUUGAGUCUUUUGCUGCUUUGGGCAACUCUGGCUGUGGUCCUUGCACAAAAUUCACAGCAGCAGCAGCAACAGAAUAUUCCAAAUAAUGCCCAACAGAAUCCCAUCAAUACUGACAUUAUCAGUGAUCUUGUGGGAGUGAUUGUUGGUGUAGCUCAGGGAAUCCUUGGUGGAGGAACAGACCUCGUGGGAGGAGUUGCUGGAUAGAGAAUCUGAGAAUUCUUUCUUUUUGUAAUUAUUGUUUUCUAAUGUGAACUCCAUGGAUGAUUUUUAAUAAUAAAAAAAUAUUUUUGAA